This 138-nucleotide small nucleolar RNA is filed under the name Ornithorhynchus anatinus (platypus). Lineage: Eukaryota; Metazoa; Chordata; Mammalia; Monotremata; Ornithorhynchidae. The record is from RNAcentral.
CCCCUCUCAGGGUUGCAUCUGGAGGGUUUCCAGUAGUUUACCAGUCUCAACUACGGGAGGGAGAGUCAAGCCGAGGCAUACCCAUUCCAUUCCUAGCUUGGGCAGUGGCUAGCAAGUGGAAGACAAUCCGCUACAAGU